RNAcentral lists this ribosomal RNA (253 nucleotides) under uncultured bacterium. RNAcentral's name for it is "partial 16S ribosomal RNA". It matches the Rfam family "Bacterial small subunit ribosomal RNA", at positions 524 to 776 of the family's 1533-position model. The record is from RNAcentral.
UACGUAGGGUGCAAGCGUUGUUCGGAAUUACUGGGCGUAAAGGGCGCGUAGGCGGGCCCGUAUGUCGAUUGUGAAAGCCCUGGGCUUAACCCGGGAAUGGCAGUCGAAACUGCGGGUCUUGAGUGCUUGAGAGGAUGGCGGAAUUCCCGGUGUAGAAGUGAAAUUCGUAGAUAUCGGGAAGAACACCUGAGGCGAAGGCGGCUGUCUGGCGAUGCACUGACGCUGAGGCGCGAAAGCGUGGGGAGCAAACAGG